GUGAAAUUGUUGAAAGGGAACCGAUGGGAGGCAGUGUCGGCUGGGUGGUACUUGUAUCAUUUAGCAAGUCAGGCUUUCUUAAUUAUGUGGGAAAGGCUUCUAGACCAGUUUGGGCUAGUUUUGCUGUCAUGUGAUUGAGAGACUCUGACGAAAUGCCUCUUAUCAACCCGUCUUGAAACACGGACCAAGGAGUCUAACAUGUGUGCGAGUGCUCGGGGUAAAACUCCCAGCGCGGAAUUAACGUAAAGGUGGAUUUAUUCACUGAGGUAGGAUCUGUAAAGUGCACUAUCGACCGACCAUGAUCCUUCGGGAGAAAGGUUUGAGUGUGAGCAUACAUGUUGGGACCCGAAAGAUGGUGAACUAUGCCUGAGUAGGACGAAGCCAGGGGAAACUCUGGUGGAGGUCCGCAGCGAUUCUAACGUGCAAAUUGAUCGUCGAACUUGGGUAUAGGGGCGAAAGACUAAUCGAACCAUCUAGUAGCUGGUUCCUCCCGAAAUUUCCCUUAGGAUAGCUGCAACCGAACAGUUUUAUCAGGUAAAGCGAAUGAUUAGAGGCCUCAGGGGUGGAACGUCCUUGACCUAUUCUCAAACUUUAAAUGGGUAAGAGCCCUGGGUUGCUUAAUUGAACCCGGUGGUUGAAUGACGGUUGCUAGUGGGCCAAUCUGGGUAAGCUAGAUUGGCGAUGCGGGAUGAACCGAACGUCUAGUUAAAGUGCCAAAGUAUCCGCUAACC
Molecule: ribosomal RNA, 731 nt
Filed under: uncultured stramenopile
Lineage: Eukaryota
Description: LSU rRNA
Rfam family: Eukaryotic large subunit ribosomal RNA
Source: RNAcentral